RNAcentral lists this ribosomal RNA (1382 nucleotides) under uncultured bacterium. RNAcentral's name for it is "bacterial SSU rRNA". It matches the Rfam family "Bacterial small subunit ribosomal RNA". The record is from RNAcentral.
GAAUUCGCCCUUAGAGUUUGAUCCUGGCUCAGGACGAACGCUGGCGGCGCGCCUAACACAUGCAAGUCGAACGGAGCUUAAAGAGCUUGCUUUUUAAGCUUAGUGGCGAACGGGUGAGUAACGCGUGAGUAACCUGCCCUGGAGUGGGGGACAACAGUUGGAAACGACUGCUAAUACCGCAUAAGCCCACGGAUCCGCAUGGAUCUGAGGGAAAAGGAUUUAUUCGCUUCAGGAUGGACUCGCGUCCAAUUAGCUAGUUGGUGAGGUAACGGCCCACCAAGGCGACGAUUGGUAGCCGGACUGAGAGGUUGAACGGCCACAUUGGGACUGAGACACGGCCCAGACUCCUACGGGAGGCAGCAGUGGGGGAUAUUGCACAAUGGGGGAAACCCUGAUGCAGCGACGCCGCGUGGAGGAAGAAGGUUUUCGGAUUGUAAACUCCUGUCGUUAGGGACGAUAAUGACGGUACCUAACAAGAAAGCACCGGCUAACUACGUGCCAGCAGCCGCGGUAAAACGUAGGGUGCAAGCGUUGUCCGGAAUUACUGGGUGUAAAGGGAGCGCAGGCGGACCGGCAAGUUGGAAGUGAAAACUAUGGGCUCAACCCAUAAAUUGCUUUCAAAACUGCUGGCCUUGAGUAGUGCAGAGGUAGGUGGAAUUCCCGGUGUAGCGGUGGAAUGCGUAGAUAUCGGGAGGAACACCAGUGGCGAAGGCGACCUACUGGGCACCAACUGACGCUGAGGCUCGAAAGCAUGGGUAGCAAACAGGAUUAGAUACCCUGGUAGUCCAUGCCGUAAACGAUGAUUACUAGGUGUUGGAGGAUUGACCCCUUCAGUGCCGCAGUUAACACAAUAAGUAAUCCACCUGGGGAGUACGGCCGCAAGGCUGAAACUCAAAGGAAUUGACGGGGGCCCGCACAAGCAGUGGAGUAUGUGGUUUAAUUCGAAGCAACGCGAAGAACCUUACCAGGUCUUGACAUCGAGUGACGAACUUAGAGAUAAGUUCUUCCUUCGGGACACGAAGACAGGUGGUGCAUGGUUGUCGUCAGCUCGUGUCGUGAGAUGUUGGGUUAAGUCCCGCAACGAGCGCAACCCUUAUCAUUAGUUGCUACGCAAGAGCACUCUAAUGAGACUGCCGUUGAUAAAACGGAGGAAGGUGGGGAUGACGUCAAAUCAUCAUGCCCCUUAUGACCUGGGCUACACACGUACUACAAUGGUGAUCAAACAGAGGGAAGCAACACAGCGAUGUGAAGCAGAACCCGAAAAAUCAUCUCAGUUCAGAUUGCAGGCUGCAACUCGCCUGCAUGAAGUCGGAAUUGCUAGUAAUCGCGGAUCAGCAUGUCGCGGUGAAUACGUUCCCGGGCCUUGCACACACCGCCCGUCA